ACCAGACUCCUACGGGAGGCAGCAGUGGGGGAUAUUGCACAAUGGGGGAAACCCUGAUGCAGCGACGCCGCGUGGGUGAAGAAGCGCCUCGGCGCGUAAAGCCCUGUCAGCAGGGAAGAAAAUGACGGUACCUGAAGAAGAAGCCCCGGCUAACUACGUGCCAGCAGCCGCGGUAAUACGUAGGGAGCAAGCGUUGUCCGGAAUUACUGGGUGUAAAGGGAGCGUAGGCGGGAUAGUAAGUUGAUUGUUAAAACUAUCGGCUCAACUGGUAGAUGCGAUCAAAACUGCAAUUCUUGAGUGAAGUAGAGGCAGGCGGAAUUCCUAGUGUAGCGGUGAAAUGCGUAGAUAUUAGGAGGAACACCAGUGGCGAAGGCGGCUUACUGGACGAUGACUGACGCUGAGGCUCGAAAGCGUGGGGAGCAAACAGGAUUAGAUACCCUUGUAC
This 445-nucleotide ribosomal RNA is filed under the name uncultured bacterium. RNAcentral describes it as "partial 16S ribosomal RNA". It matches the Rfam family "Bacterial small subunit ribosomal RNA", at positions 330 to 793 of the family's 1533-position model. The record is from RNAcentral.